AGCAGAGAGAGACCCAGCUCCAGGAACACGAAGGCAAGGACAGUAGCCUUCAGUCUCGACCCCAGAGCUUGGCACCCCAGAACCUGGGCUCCCCAAAGCAAGACCAGGGCCCCCACAUUGUGCGCCAAAGUGCGGGGUGGAGAAUGCCCACAGCCCAAGGGCCCCCAGGCUGAAGGCAGGAGACUGGGGCUGCUGGAGAAGUUGCCCAGGCUGAGGGGCCGUGCCUGGCAGGGACAUGGGGCUGCUGCUGCUGCUGCUCCCAGGCUGGGGCUGUGCUGCAGGCUCCGAGCUGGCCUUCGUGCAGGAGCUGGGGGACACAGUGGCUGUGUGGGAGCACCCACUGGUGCUGCCCUGCCAGGUGGAGGGUGAGCCGCCUGUGUCCAUUUCCUGGCAGCGGGAUAGGCUGGCCUUAGCCAAUGAGAGUGGUGUCACCCUGAUGCCAGAUGGCUCCCUGCACCUGGCCGCCCUGCCUUCCCGCCGGAGCCUCCCUUCCCGUGCCCACGAGUACCACUGCGUGGCCCAGAACCGCUACGGGCGGCUGGUGAGCCGACAGGCCCGGGUACAGCUGGCAAGUAAGUGACAGGGCUGCUCCUGGGAUUGGGGGAUGAGAGUUGGUGGGGCACCCACAGAAGGCACCCAUGGGGCCCAGACUCGCUGAGAGUGGGCCUGAGCAGGGCCAGCCCAGCCAUUAGACACAGUGUACACACUGGUAGAGCCUCUGAUUCUUUUAGGGGCCCACAAAAAUGUUUUAACUUCUUCAAAACCAGAAGAAAAAAAUGAAUACAAUAAUAAAUAUGUAAAAAUGAGUCCA
RNAcentral lists this long non-coding RNA (811 nucleotides) under Homo sapiens (human). RNAcentral describes it as "novel transcript". Lineage: Eukaryota; Metazoa; Chordata; Mammalia; Primates; Hominidae. The record is from RNAcentral.